ACCCCUGCGCCAGCCUGGUGCCUCGCGCUUGGACAUGAUGACCGUGUGCAGCUGGGAACCGCCCUGCACUGAGCCGUUCAGCCGCGGGGAGAGGAGCCACCUGUGUCACACGGGCACCAGGUGAAGCACGGAGCCCUGUGCGCGUGACCAGCCCUCACAGCUCUUCUCAUUGCCCCAUUUUGAAACAGAUGCUCAGUUCAUGGACUGGCAGCAGGGACGUCCCUCUGGCUUUGCGGAUGACGUUGCGGUUCUGAAAGUGGCACUUUCCCUGGGGAAGUGAUGAAGCCCGCCCAUCAGGCCCUCCAGACGUGACAGUUGCCCUGAAGAGCAGCGUUAUCACGAGAGCAUCAUGGGCGAGCGCGAGGGCUCAGCAAAAUGUCCUAGGGCCCACGAUCCCACACAGGAGCCACGGGACACUUGGGCCGUUUCAAAGAGGGUGACGUUGAGCCCACUGUCACGUUGCGUGCCUUGCAUGUGCUUGGUGGCCGCCAUCUUGGGAGCAGCAUUGUGGAUCCCUGGCUCCUCAGCCCAGUGUUGGUAGAGUUCCUUCACCUUCCCCAGGGGCCACCGCAGUGUCAGGCCUGCAGCAGCCGGGUGUGUGUGUGUGUGUGUGUCUCCAUGGGAGAGUGUGAGAGUGUGUCCGGGGUCAGUGGGCGAUGCCCAGAGUCAAGUGGAGAACUGGGUUUUGGGGCAGGUCAGAAAUGUGCACCUAAUGCUUCCAAAGAGAGUGACAGCUGGCAGUGACACUUCGUAAAGGUCAUGUCAAUCAGGAGCUCUAGGGGAGGAAAGGGCCCAGAAUGCCAGGCCCGGGAAGGCGGCUGUUGUGCAAGGAAGCAGUGUGGCGGCCGUGGAGGGCCCGGUGGGCACCCUCCGCUGGGCUCCUGCUGUUGCUUUAAGGUACUGACACCCUCAAGCUGGCGGCCAAUCACGAGCCUUCUCCUUGGUGUGUUUUAAAACCAUGUUGAGCAGAGGCCCCAGAGGCCUGGAGUUAAGGGAUGGUGUUGGUUCAGGAGAGAGGACCCCCAGCAGGCAUGACAGUCACAAGGCCAGGCUGAGCUCAUCAGUGGGAGGCAGCAGCCAGGACGGGAGCUUCCUGCCACCCUCCAGACAUUGCUGCUGGGCCAGGGACAGUCCCCUGUGGGCCUGAGUCUCUGCCUGUGACAGACACCUCCACAUCCCUGCAGGGUUGGAAGGACUCGCAGGACCAGGAGCAGAGGACCUUGUUCACGAUGUCACAAAGACACUCCUCCAGAGAUCCGUCUGCCUUCAGAAUGUGCGGGGUUUAAGAACUCUCCCAGCCGCGUGGUCUUGGGAGGCCUCUCAGGUCCUGGAAAGAUCUUUUGGGAUGGAGCUUGGGGUUUUUGUUGUUUGGAGACCAGGGAUUGAACCCAGGGGCGUAUAACCACUGAGCCACGUCCUCAGCCCCCCUUUUUUAAAAAAUUUUUAAUUUAGAGACAGGGUCCUGCGAGUUGCUUGGGGCUUCGCUAAGUUGCUGAGGCUGGCUUUGAACUCACAAUCCUCCUGCCUCAGCCUCCUGAGCUUCUGGGAUGACCCGUGUGGCCGAUGCACCUGGCAGAGUUUGUGUUUUUAUUUAUCAAUUAAUUACGGUCAGCUACGCAGCUUGGGGCCUGGCGCAUACCAGGUGUGUUUGUUGGUUAACUGAUAAAGAGUGGGGGCGUCUCAGGGUCAGAGAGGCCCUGGUUUCCAGACAGGAGACAGCCAGUGUCAUCUUAGGUUGCAGGAUGUUGGAAAGAUUGACAGGCCCCAAAGUGACCUCCUGAGGGGGAUUCUGGGCUCUCUGCGGUGCCCUUGGCCCACCGGCCUGACCGUGACUCCUGCCCUCGCCCCAGCUAACCACGCGUCCCAGCUAGCCACUAAUUAGGACUCAGUGCUCCUGUGCAGGGAGGUGACUCAAACACAAGCCACGCGACAGUGGGGAGCCUGAGGCCAGGCCAGCUCUGACCCUCCUCCACGUGACAGAGCCCUGCCUGGCCUCGCCUGGGUCCCUGGCAGAACCAGCCCAUCCAGGAGGGGCCCCUGUCUCAGAGCCAAGCCCAGGCAUCGGGACGGUGAACGGGCUGCACUGGACCUGCCGUCUCCUUGGCAACGUCCCUCGGAGCCUCAGGUCCUCUGUCUCUUACACGGUGACAGCUCUGCCCUUCUUGGGAGCUCUGGUGGCAUUUCAGAUCAUUCAUCCAUCAUCGUCAGGGUGAGUCACUGUGGUCACUUCUGGCCCACAGCGCUGCCCAGCAGCCCUGCAGGUGUGCUGUGCCCCCUCGGUGAGGCCAGACUGGACCACGGUGUUCCUGAGGGACGUGCUCCUCUGAGGACAGCCACGUACCACUAGGUCUCCACCCACCGGUCCCCCCACUACCGGGUUAGUCCACCAUUCAGCACACGCUUAGGGGAAAGCUGGGGACAGGACGCUUCACAGUGGCCAGGCCCCUGCUCUCACCGCCUCCACAGGAAGCCCCUCGGGUGAGUGCCAGGGUGCAGGCUGGCCGGGGCGCUCCGGGGCCCCGCACGGCUCCCCUCACACAGGCCUGAAUCGUAGCCAAGAAGUCUUCACGAUGUCUCAUCACUGUCCCUGCUGUCACCCACCUGAGGUAAUCAGCACGAGUGACUGGUGGUGGCCUGGAGUAAUGACGCAUGGUCCUUACUGCUGCAAUGCGUGCUGGGGACGACCUUUGAGGGGGGCCCUGGGGACCAGCCAGGCUCUCCUCUGCCUUCGGAGCCUGGGCGGGCUGGAGAAGGUGCCUCUCGGGAGGGCAGCCCCUGUGUUUGAGGGUCCCCAGGCCACGAGCCGCUUGGGCAUCUGGCCAGGUGGGGGCUGGCAGAUGCGGGCCCCAUCACUGCGAGCCGUGGGCACCUGGUCCUCCCGUGCUGUGUGAGUGGCACCGUGGACAUCAUUGCUGCUUUUUAAAAAUUGCAAUAAGUAUACAGCUCGUUGCCAAACCUCCUGCUUUUCAAAUAACCAGGAAAUCCAGGUAAUUUUCAACUGUGUAAAUUAUCUACAACGUAGAAUCAGCCAUGUCGCUGUGUCACGUGCGCGGUUCAGGGACACGGGGUGUGUUCACGCGGCCAUGCAGCCGUCACCGCCGUCCAUCUCUGGAUCAUUCCCCUCUUCCCAGGAUGAAACUGUCCCGUUAAACCUGCCCACCCCCUGCAGCCCAGCUCCCCGUCCUGCGUCUGCCUCUGUGGUUUUGGUCCUGUUGAGAGUGGCUUGUCGGAUUUAGCACGGUGUCCCUGUUGUCCAUCCACGCCGGGGCCUGGGUAGAAUUCCCUUCCUUUUCAAGGCUGAAGAACCGGCCCCUGCGCAGCUGGACGGCUGUUUGCUUCCUCGAGUGUCUGCUGACGGACGCCCUUCGGACCCAGGCUGCCGUCCACCUAGCCGCACACCCAUCCUGCUCCGGGAGGUGGACCUCACGUGGGGUCUGAAGGUCCCGUGCCGCUCCGCCUGUGCCCCUCUGAGCAGCGGCUGUGUUUGGCGGUCCUGCUGUGGGCGCCCCAAUACUGUCAGGAGCGGGUAGCGCAAGUAGGAGGUGGUGAGGAGGCCCUGGGCAGUGGACCUGUAGGCUCUGGGAGGCCGCUGGCCCUCAGCUGCCUCUGGGCUUCCUUUGCUUUGGGCUUAUGUGGCUGGAGGCAGGGCUCGAGGCAGUGGCUCGGAUGUUUGUAAAGAAGGUUCCAGCGUCCUGGAGCUGGCCAGGUUUGGUGACAUGGAGCCACCUGUUGUCUGGGUGAUUUCUGAGGAUCUGCUCCCCCCUGGCUGGACAGCUGGUGCACUGACCAGCAAAGACCAGGUGCUGGUGGGGCUGAGGUCCCUUGUUCCUCCGGGUCUGGGACGUCUGAGACGAGGUGUGGCUACAGGUCAGAGCAGGUGCACUGGGGAUGGCUACUGCCCGUGGCUCUCGUCAGAGACCUGCCUGCGUCCUCAGAGGGACCCGUUGGGAUUUGAGCUCCGACCUCAAUGUGGAUGUCCCUGCCACGGCCAGCCAGCUGUGUCCAGAGCCAGGUGUCCAGCCAGCUGAUGUUUUAUUUUCUUCCAAGAAUGUCAUAUUUUCAGUUGUAAAGGCCUUUCAUGGGAGACAGGGUGUCACAGAGACCGUGACAGUUUUGAGAGUGGCUGGUAGAGAUAGGGGACAGGGAUGGCACGAGACUCCGUUUCCGGGCACUUUCAGAGUAUUUGUGAGGCUGAUUUUGAGUCGCCAGAUUUCUGCUUGAAAACGGACGACGUGCUUCAUUCCUCUUGCGAAAUACGAAGGAUGGCCCUCGCCAGGCAGCGGGGGGCAGAGCCCCUGUGCCUACGCGGCAGAGAGGUGUUUCUAGGUGUCUUUGUGUCUGUGACUGCAGUUAGGCUGGCACCUCCCUCUCCCGUGGACAGCCAGUGCCACCUGUGUCUUUGAUCCAGGGUCGCAUCGUUGGCACCAAGGUCGUCCUUUAGGAAGGCCGCGAGGUCUUAAAGCUGACCUAGACCACACUGACCGUACCAGGCAGGACCGGGCAGAACCAGGCAGGCACAGCUAGAGGGUUGCCAGGCGCCUUGUCCUGACCCAGUGUGGCCAUGUGGGCAGUGCUGACCCUGGUCCAGGGAACCUUGUCCCACUGGCCCUGAGGACGGGUGAGGAGGGGGUGUGGGGUGCCUGUCCAGGGUCCUCAGCUCUUGCUCUGCACUUGCUUGCUUGACACGGGCUAUGCAGAGGGGCCGAGGCAGGGUCUGCUGUGUUUGCAGAACUGGGAGCCAGCAUCACGGCCAUUCUAGAAUGUUUCCAUCCCCUCUAAAGGACACUCUUGCUGUAACCCGGCACCGCCCCCAGCCACCAGCAACCUCAAGCCCACCUCUGUCCCGGUGUGUCCUUGGGGACAGCACAUACGGUGGAGCCACUUGGCCUGUGGCUUGGCGUGGGCUCCUCUCCGCAGCACCGUGCCCUCCAGGUUCUGUUGUAGCACAGGUCAGUGCUUCACCCCUCUUGAGCGAUGUCCAGGGUGGGGGCUGCCUUUGUGCAGCCAUCCGUCCGUGGCGGCUCCUGUGCUUCCCCCCGUUGGAAAUGCAUCUGCCUUUGCAAGAUCACCUCGGACGCCGAUUGCCACCUCGGACGCCGAUUGCCUCCCCGGACCUGGCAGUGACUUGGGAAUGUCUCAGGCUCAGCCUCCCACAGCGGCCAGAGGGGUAGGGAGGAAAGAGCCAGGGUAUGUGGAAACAGCGGGUACAAUAGCACCUGACACUGACCGUGCUGGUCAGUGUCGACAAGGUUCCGCCUGGUAACAAGCAUCCCACACUGCCGGUGGCUUUCGUCCAUAUGGUGCCUACAUCUGUGUGCAGCUGUGGCUUUGGGACAGUUUCAUCUCGUCCCAGCAACCAGGUGGAAGGAGAUGCUGGCGUUCUCAGGCAGGAAGAGCAGAGGGACACAGACCUGACCUCAGGGGAAGGGGAGCGCACACUGCUCCCCACAGGGAGACCCCUGCAGAGGGGAGCCCAGGGCUGCCUGGAACCAAGAAAACCUGGGGCUGGGGUGGUAGAGGCUCAGUGGUGAGGCUCGCCCAGCAUGCCAAGGCCCUGCGAGGAGGAAAAAGGACACAGAAAGCACUCUGUCAGGGUCAGGCCACAUCUGUGUCAAUAAAGUUUUAUUGGAACAUGGCCCCACCCAGACGCUGACAGUGCCUGUGGCUGCUUCUGGGCUGCCCCAGCCGCAGUGAGUAGCGUGACGGAGACCGUGUGUGCUCUGGGCUGAGGCGUCUGCCCGGCCUCUCUGCGGGAGCCUGGUCAGCAGCCUCACGGGCAUGGUCAUUACAGGGGUUGUCCCGUGCCACCGGUGGCUCCUGUUUCUGUGGCCAGUGGGACCUCCUGCCUUAGAUGUUGUGGCUGCCAGAUUAACGCCUCCCAGGUCUCCACCUAACCCCCCACGCCUGGGAACGUGGAUGGGACAUGACCCCGGGCCCGUCAGGGGGCCAGCAGGGGAGGCGGGGGUGGGGUCUGAGUCAGAGGAGAAGAAAGCCUGGAGGAGCCACACUCUGGCCUUGAGGAUGGAGGCUCGGCCAGGGGACAGCUCAGCCUCAGGGACCUGGAGGGGGAGACCUUCCGCUCUGGAGCCGCUGGGAGGUGCAUGUGACCUGCCUGUGUCGAGGACCCCGCCUCCGGGACUGAGAGCUGCCCCGUGGCCAUCUGUGGCAGCAGCCAAGGGGCAUCACAGCCCUUCCUGGCAGGCCCCAAGACCGUCCUGUUCCAGGCGAGGAAGCCGCCCGCAGAGAGGCUGAGUGAGCCGCGACAGAGCCGUGUCCAGACCCGGGAGUCCUCGCCGUCCGCCACGCUCCUCGUGCGUCACUGCAGGGCCUGCCCUCUGGUCACCACAUGGGGACGGCUAGUGAAUGGAAGUGUGGCUCAGACUCUGCGUCACUCUGGGGAGAGUAAGGAGGUGGCAGGCCCUCUACACACUGUCCUGAGGGUGACAUUUCUCUUCCUGUUGACCCACCUGCUCCUCCUGGCCACCUUGCCCCGUCCACAGCUGCCCUGAGUCUGUUGGCUUUGGUCUGCUCCCCACUGCUGCUGCCCCCUGGGAGACGGGGAGUCACUUUUGGGUGACCCCAUCCAUUCUUCAGAAUGUCAUCUUCCCACUUGUUUCUCUGGAUGGCUUGCUGUGGGGUUGACCGGGCACCUCCUGCCCUCCAAGUUCAGGGUCACCAGCUGGACCUUACUGGCCAGCACUGCCCUCCUCUGUCGAUGACCAGGUCUUGCCAGUCUGGUGACCUGUUUCCUCCCUUGGUCCCGUUCUGCCCUGUGGCUCCUGUUGGAGGGAAGCAGCUCCUGGUCCUCCUCGCCCCACCAGACCAGCUCUGAAGCAGAUGCCUGUCCCCGGAGCCACGUGCUGCCUCAACUCUCCAAGCCCCAUUAUCCCAUGGUCCAGCUGGGAGCAGGUGGGAGACCGCCACAUCUUCCGCCCGGGGCCUUUCUGGGGUGAGUUGCCCUGGCAACCGACUCACACUCCCUCGGAUGGUCCCCACCAGCCUCCAUGCGCCCCGUCUACCCCUGGACCUGGUCUGCUCCUGCAGCAUUAGUCUUCCUGGCUGGCUGACAGCUGCCUCGACAUCUGCCCAUCACUGUUCUCCCUUCAAACAGACGCGCCUUUCCUGGAGGGCCCCUGAAUGGCCGUGGAGGGGGGCUCGGGCUGCUCCACACAGGGGAACAGGUGUGGCGUCCAUCUGAGUCUGGGUCGUGCUGUUGGUGGAGUUGAAGGUCUUGUGCAGAGCAGAGUUCUCUAGAGAAACAGACCUGGUGAGGAGCAUAUGGGUUUAUGUGAUCAUUGACAUAAAAUAAUGACUGGGUUUUAAAGGAAAUAAAACAUUUCAUUCUGA
This is a long non-coding RNA of Marmota monax (woodchuck), 7347 nucleotides long. RefSeq lists it as uncharacterized. NCBI's taxonomy places the organism in Eukaryota, Metazoa, Chordata, Mammalia, Rodentia, Sciuridae. The transcript is spliced from 2 exons. The record is from RefSeq and is a predicted model, not a curated record.